RNAcentral lists this long non-coding RNA (1070 nucleotides) under Numida meleagris (helmeted guineafowl). Its description in RNAcentral is "lncRNA (ENSNMEG00000008593.1)". Lineage: Eukaryota; Metazoa; Chordata; Aves; Galliformes; Numididae. The record is from RNAcentral.
UAACACUACAAUUUAAAUAACAGCAGUGCCGGGGGCAGCAGGUGCUGUGUGUCCCUGUAGCAUGUAUUUAUGUGUGCAGGUUUGGUUUGACAACGAGAGUGAAAGAGCACUUGCUCCUUUGGUCCUCAGGUAGCAGCCUUGUGGAAAAGCAUCAAGGAGGAAAUAGGAAAGAGCUUUGUGUGCUGGUUUUGUUUGUUUGUUUGUUUGUUUUCCCCUUUCCUUGGAGAUUUUGGACUGAUUAAAAAGCUAUUUUUGCUGGGAAAACAAGAAGAAAAAAAAGUCCAGCUCUACGUGGCAAGGAUGAAAGCAUGCUUGACUCCUCCGAUGAGUACAAUAGAGUUUAAUAUCUUUGCUGCUUGGCCCAAUAUUGUAUCACAGGCAUCACCGACGUUGUGCUUCCCAGCAUGCCCCAGCCUUCCUUCAAACAAGCACUCGGUGUAGCAGAAAGUCCAAGAAAAGGAUUACUCCCUGGAGGAUCAAGAAGAAAGCAACAGUGAAAAAAGGACCGAUAGCAGCAUGGAGAAUACAGAAAGCAGAUAAAGAGGGAAAUGAGGAGGUGGAGGUGAGCAGAAGGCAGCUCAGAAAAUUGCACAAGCUGUGGGUAGUUUUUCCAUCGAGACGCUCAUGCAUCUCAAAGGGAGUGACUCUGCCAUCUGCAUCUCCUCUGAAAAAAAAAAAAAGGAACAGAGCAGAGACAAAAAAAGAAAUCCACCUGUUGUGCCUCUUGUUUUGGCUGUAGUAGGAUGGAUCGGCAUAGAAUGCCUGCUGUGCAGGGGGAGAGGAAGCCAACGGAGGUACUGUUGUGUCUGAGGAACGACACGCACCAGUCCCACCGCUCUGUCCUACUGACACACUGGGAAGAGUGGGGAGGAACUAUUUUAGUCCUGUUGAGGCUGCUGAGGAACAAAAAAUGGAAGUAAUUAAAGGCCUCUUCCAGUCUCACUUACAUUUCUGAGUCUCCAGGCUAGAGUUAUUUUUGCUACAUUGAUUUAAUGGCAUUGCACUCAUGUUUAAAACGGGUUGGAUUUCUUUUUUUUUUUACCUGAACUUCAGAAACGAGCCAGCACUUU